Molecule: long non-coding RNA, 1770 nt
Filed under: Trifolium pratense (red clover)
Lineage: Eukaryota; Viridiplantae; Streptophyta; Magnoliopsida; Fabales; Fabaceae
Description: long non-coding RNA (TPRA_LNC002941)
Source: RNAcentral
UCUCUCUCUCUCUCUCUCUGUCUCUCUCUUCGACGCUGAUUUCACCUCGCCGAGCUCUUGCGUGAUUCGGCGGUCACUCUUCCACGUUGAGUUGCUCGCCGAAUUUCACUCUUCACUGUGUAUGAUUUCUUUUCUGAUUUCAAUGUUGUGCCCUGAUUUUAUUCUAAUUUUACUCUUUUCUAUCUUUUCCUUAUUUUGAUCUAAUUUCACUUUAAAAUUGAAAUUUGUAUGCAUGUCUCAUGAUUUAGCUUCAAUAUGCAGCAGUGAGAUUGAGAUUUAAAUUGAAUUUGAUUGUUCUUGGUUAGGAGUAAUUUUUCAAGUUUAUGGUUGAUUUGUAUUAGACUGAUUGGAGUUAGUUUAUCAAUGUAAUGUAACCAUACAUUUUUAUGCUACAUCCUUGUUUUGUUGACGUAAAUUGAUGAACUCAAUACUGAUAAUCAAUUACUCUCAUAUUGCUGUAGCUGAAUUCUGACCAAGUUAUUGCUGUUGGCCCUGGCCUUCAUGGUAAGGUAAGGAUGGAAAACUCCUUCCAUUGGCUUGGUUUUGUUUAUGAUGCAACUAGAAACAUAAUUAGGACUAACCAUACUACUCUCUCCGUCCCAAUUUGAUUGACACAGUUGACUGUUUCACGCAUGCCGAUGCACAACUUUGACGAUUAAUAUUUUUAAUUGUAUAAUAGUAAAAAUUAUAAAAAUUUGACAUUUUGAAAAUACUCAUCGAGACGAAUCAAACAACAUCUUAUAUGCUAAUAUUUAUUUUUGUUUAUUAGUAGAAAAAUAAGGUCAAAGCAACAUGUGUGAAUAGUGCACAACAGUCAACUGUGUCAAUCAAAUUGGGACGGAGGGAGUACUAACAAAGCUUUUCUGCAUCAUGGAGGAAUUACCACUAUUGCUUGAAGUAGCACCUGUUUUGUUUCUAGUUUGAUAAUAGACCUGUUAUGUCUUAUAUAGUAUUCUUAGAACAACUCUCAUCAGUAUUUUAUUUUUAGUUUAAUUUUUAGUUUAAUUUUGUGAUUCUAUUUUUUUAGAUUAACAAAAGCUUAUGUAUUAAUCUAUGGAAUGAAAAGAACAUUAGCUGAAGUUAACUUGUUAAUAUGGUACCCUUAAUUCUUACUUACAUUGUCUCCAUGAUUGGUGUAAGUUUUAAUAGAGUUAUUAUUAUGCUUUUUAUGUUUAAGAUUAAUUAAGCCUUACAUGUGUUCAAAUAAAUAGUUAUUUUGCUCUGUUUUGCUUCCUUAUUGAUCUGUUUUGCUUGUUCACAAAGAAUAUGAGAGUUUAUAAAAAAGGUCAAUGUCUCUUAUGAAUUUUCAUUUGGUUCUAUAAACAUGUCUUGUUAAGGGUGCAGCUGUUGGUAUAACAAUAGCAGGAAUACUUGGACUUGUAUUAGUAUUUUGUUCUCUGUAUAUAUGUCAGAUACUUCCAAAAGAAGGAAGAAGAGAAAACUAAACUUCCCAAAACUUCUAUGUGAAUUUGAAACUAUUAUCCUGCUUAUUUUAUUUUUGUCACAGUUGAUAAAAAUACUAAUGGUCAAACAGGAGCCAAAUUCAUCGUGGUAGACAAAUCACCCGAGUUUUCGUACAAAGAACUAGCCAAUGCUACUGAUAACUUCAGUUUGGCUAACAAUUGCAAUAGAAAAGUAAGUUGUGUUCAAUUACACAGAAAACUGCAAUAGAAAAGAUGAAGAUCCAAGCAACAAGAGAAUUUCUUGAUGAACUCAAAGUCUUAAACACGUGUUCAUCACUAGAACCUGGUAAAUUUUCAAGCAUAAAAC